Non-coding RNA from Anas platyrhynchos (mallard), 392 nucleotides. The record is from RefSeq and is a predicted model, not a curated record. NCBI's taxonomy places the organism in Eukaryota, Metazoa, Chordata, Aves, Anseriformes, Anatidae.
CCUGAGAGGAAAAUGGGGUGCUGGAGGCAGCAGCUGUCCUGUACCUGCUGCCUCCCCUCCAUCCUCCAACCCCAGCCAUCCUUGUCAGAAUGGAGCAGCUAAAGCUAGGGAAAAGCCCAACACCGACUUCUUUCAAGAGAAAAGUUCUCAACAGAAAAUGAUCUUUCUUUUAAAUUGAGAAAUUCCUUCAGUGGAGAUGUAAAACAUUAAGAAUCACCACAUUCCUUCCCUCAGCUGUUUUUACCAUGAAAUUGCAAUAAUAUAACUAAAUAAUUUCUGGAUAGGAACAUUUUAUAUUGAACUUUUAUUUCCAUCUCAGCAGCACCAUGAACUCAUCUCAAAGUGAAAGAUAUCAGAGAUCCUUUCUCUCUAUAAAGGAUGCUUUCAAUCCU